Long non-coding RNA from Mauremys mutica (yellowpond turtle), 1099 nucleotides. RefSeq lists it as uncharacterized. NCBI's taxonomy places the organism in Eukaryota, Metazoa, Chordata, Testudines, Geoemydidae. The transcript has 3 exons. The record is from RefSeq and is a predicted model, not a curated record.
AAGGGUCAUGGUGUUAAUUCAGUGCCCCUCUCUCUUUAACCAUUUUGUGCAGGGCGGCCUGUGUUCCUCAUUGCCAUGCCCAGGUUAGCUCUUUCUUGGGUGCAAAUGCCUGUGCAUGCAAACCUGCAGAUAUAAAUGAAGGCCCUGGUCCUUCAAACUCAUGCCCAGUCAGAGCCCACAUAGGGGCCGGGGCCCACUGGACUGGGGCCUUAAAGGCCUUUCUUGAAACUAUGGCCCUACUUUUCUUUCAUUUCUGACACUAACUGGAUCCAUCAUGAACAGGGCUUGAUGAUGAUCGCAUGGUUUACAUUUGAGGACAGAAUGGGAUUUAAGAAACGACCGGAGAAUACAUGCUAAGAAGAAAUAAUUAUUCAAAGAUGAAGCAAAAUUCGGACUGGGUUGGUCUGGCUGGCUGGAACACAAGAAUUCCACUUUGUGAAAAAUGUCCAGGUUUGGGGAAUUGUUUUUGUUCCACAUUGGAACAAAACUGAGACCUUUUGAAAUCUGCCGUGAAAAAACACAAGCAAGACUGAGAGAGUUCGCUCCACCCCAGACUUGCCAAUUGGUUGGGCACUCCUCUGGGAUGUGAAAGAAUAAGGUGCAGCUUGUUGCUCUGCCUGAUUCAGAGCAGGAACUUGAAUCUGGAUCACAUCCAUCCCAGCUCUCCACCGAAUGGAAGUUUUCUGAAACCACUGGCCAGCUUCUCCUCCUCCCAGGCUUCCAUUCAAUCUUUCCAGUCUUCUUGCAGCAGCAUUGCUUCUUUCACCAGGAUGCAUGUUUUCACAGCUGAAACAACACAGGGCUAUUGUGAAGGUGCAAAGUGCUAAUUCAAUGUGGCUUUUCAUUCUGGAAACAGCAGAAGGCACUAGAUGAACUCCAGGCAAUGAAAUGUGUUUGAACUUGACAGCUCUUCUAUCCAGUACAGUGCUGUUUUUAUCACACGUGCUUGGUAUUGCAUAUUUCUACUGCAUGCCUGGAAAAAUACGGAUGACCUUUGAUGUCCAAGUGAAGAUCCUCAAAUUCCCAAGGACCUUAUGCAAACACUGGUGCUCUGGUGCACAGAAGAUGUGUCUGCUUUGUAUUUCAAAGGUAGCACAUU